This 325-nucleotide long non-coding RNA is filed under the name Brassica rapa (field mustard). RNAcentral's name for it is "long non-coding RNA (BRAP_LNC003896)". Lineage: Eukaryota; Viridiplantae; Streptophyta; Magnoliopsida; Brassicales; Brassicaceae. The record is from RNAcentral.
AUCGAUCCAAGAUCACGAGAGAGAUCCCAACCUGAAGAACAUUGAGCUUGAAGGAACAUUCGAGCAGAUAAACGAAGCGAGCGCAAUGGUUAGAGAGCUGAUUGGGAGGCUUAAUUCCGCAUCUAGGAGACCACCUGGUGGCGGUGGUGGCGGGGGUGGGCUUGGUUCUGAAGGGAAACCACAUCCAGGAAGCAACUUCAAGACGAAGAUGUGUGAGAGAUUCUCUAAAGGAAGCUGUACAUUUGGUGAUAGAUGUCACUUUGCUCACGGGGAAGCAGAGCUACGCAGGUCAUGAAUUGCGCCUAGAGUUACUGGUGAAACAAGU